Molecule: non-coding RNA, 54 nt
Organism: Salmo salar (Atlantic salmon)
Lineage: Eukaryota; Metazoa; Chordata; Actinopteri; Salmoniformes; Salmonidae
Source: Rfam
ACCAAACCAAUUUGUAAGUCGCUCUGGAUAAGAGCGUCUGCUAAAUGACCUAAA